AGCACCCAGGGGAAGCCAAGUCUGGGCCACUGAUGGGGUCUGGACUCGCCGGGGGUGUGCACGUCUUGCAGCCUGGUGUUGCUUGUGAUGCCGCUGACGAGAAUGGCUUCGGGCGAGGUUCCAGCCAGGGAGGCUUUCGAGGGACUAUAACCCCCGCCUUGGGAGGAUGCAAAGGCCUUGGCGGUGCUUUCAAAGCAUCCAAAUGCUCCGUAAUUAAGUCACGGGGCCCAAUUAUCGGCUCACGAGCACCUUCCUCUCGGGCUUAUCCCUGGGGGAGCUCGUGCGGGUGCAGCAGGCUGAGUGGGGGGCGCCGAGCAGCCCUCAGCGCGGACUGGCUGGACCCCGGGCGCCCCUGUUGCUGGCUGACCUCAGGGUCCAUCUCGCCUCGCUCUGGCCCCUCUGGCCCGUGGGGUGGCGUUUCUUCCCUGCCGUCGGUGAAUCCGUUUUCCUGCUGACCGUGUGUGGCCGGUUUCCAGUUGUUGCUGGUGACUCAUCUGCUUGGUGGUGCAAGAAGCUGCCGGCCUUGCCCCCGAAUUAGGGGCACGAUUCGACACCCCCCUUGCUCCGUGUCUCUGCCUGCCCUGGAGAGCGUCGGGAUUUGGGGCUUUAGACCUCGUCGUGGGGCUGAGGGCCUCGUCCGUUGCACAGAGCAGAGGUGGAAUAAAUGCACGUCGUUGGGAAGAUGAGGGUCCUCCUGGUGCCGCCGCUGCUGCUGCUCCUCCUGUGUGGGGCCCGCAGCCAGGCCGCCUCCAGGCCCAACUUCGUGCUGCUGAUGGCGGACGACUUCGGCAUCGGAGACCCCGGCUGCUACGGAAACAAGACUCUGAGAACCCCCAACAUUGACCGGCUGGCGGAAGGGGGGGUGAAGCUGACACAGCACCUGGCAGCUGCGCCCCUGUGCACGCCGAGCCGGGCGGCCUUCAUGACCGGCCGCUACCCCAUCCGAUCAGGAAUGGCUUCUCGUUCCCGAGUGGGGGUCUUCAUCUUCUCGGCCUCUUCCGGGGGACUGCCCGCCAGUGAGAUUACAUUCGCCAAGCUGCUGAAGAACCAGGGCUACUCAACAGCCCUCAUAGGGAAGUGGCACCUGGGCACCAAUUGCCACAACAAAACCGACUUCUGCCACCACCCUUUGAGCCACGGCUUCGAUUACUUCUACGGGCUGACGGUGACCAACCUGAGGGACUGCAAGCCUGGCGAGGGCAGCGUGUUCGCCACCGGCAUCCAGGUGCUGGUCUUCAUCCCGCUGCAGGUCCUGGCCAUCACCGUGCUCACGCUGGGCAUGCUCAACUGCCUGGGGCUGCUGCACGUGCCCCGCCUGGUCUUCCUGUGCCUGCUCUUCCUCGCCGCCCUCAUCCUCUGCCUGCUGCUGUGCUUCCUGCACUACUUCCGGCCCCUCAACUGCUUCCUCAUGAGGAACCGCGACAUCACCCAGCAGCCCAUCUCGUACGAGAACCUCACACAGAGGCUGACGGUGGACGCCGUCCAGUUCAUCCAGCGGAGCACCGAGAGGCCGUUCCUGCUGGUGCUGUCCUACCUGCACGUGCACACGGCCCUCUUCGCCUCCCGGGACUUCGCUGGCCGGAGCCAGCACGGGGCCUAUGGGGACGCGGCCGAAGAGAUGGACUGGAGUGUGGGCCAGGUCCUGGAUGUCCUGGAGGAGCUGGGACUGAGCAACAACACCCUCGUGUACUUCUCCUCCGACCAGGGGGCGCACGUGGAGGAGGUCACGGCCAAGGGCGAGGUCCAUGGCGGCAGCAACGGCAUCUACAAAGGGGGCAAAGCCAAUAACUGGGAAGGAGGCAUCCGGGUGCCGGGCCUCCUGCGCUGGCCGGGCGUGAUCCCCGCGGGGCUGGAGAGCGACCAGCCCACCAGCAACAUGGACGUGUUCCCCACGGUGGUCAAGCUGGCCGGGGCCCAGCUCCCUGCAGACAGAAUCAUCGAUGGGCGGGACCUGAUGCCUCUGCUUCGGGGGCAGACCCAGCAGUCGGACCACGAGUUCCUCUUCCACUACUGCAACUUCUACCUGAACGCCGUGCGCUGGCACCCCAGGAACACAUGCUUCGCUGCGGAGGACCGAGCUGCUGGCUUGUGAGCCAGGCGUCUCUAAGAGGAAGGGGUUACUUUUCCCUCUCCAUCUGCUGCAAAGACCAUCCGAAGAGGAACAUUCCAGGUUGUUGAAGAAGUCUCGGUCCUGAAGCUGGUGUGCAUUUCCCCGGCCAGUCUUCAUGGGGAGAUAUCGGCUUCAUCUGCCCGAAAUCAUCUCGUCCUUGGCCUGCGGUUCCCUGCAAGCGCGGAACGACAUAUAUUUGUUCUGUGACUGAAGAUAACGAGAAAGGACUUGGGGAUGCCUGAACCCUGGAAAUCAACAGUAUCUUCAUUGUCGUCGUAGAAGAUGGAGCCCCGCAGGCAGACCCAGGGAGCAGCGAAGAGGCGAGGGGCAGCGGGAGGAGCUCCCCCAGGACCCAUCGCUGGCUCAGAGGAAAGACAGUGGCUCCCGUGACUGCCACGCCUGCCGGGACCCUUUCACGCUGGCACGUGUGCGCGGCAGCCCCUCCACGGGAUACACUCACAAGGAUCCGGAGCAAGGGUCUAAGCUGACUGCGAGUCUCUGCCCAAGGCAGUGCCCGCAGGACAGAUGUCCUCGGCCUCAUCUGACGGUUUUCAAUACAACAUGGGAACAAAAGUUUUCAUGCAAACCCAGGAGUGUCCCAGGGCCAGCUGGCCUUUGGUGUCCACUUGCUGACCACCAAGCCCCUGCUGGCAAACUGCUCUCGGCGCCUACAGCACGUCGCUGGUGAAAGCUGAGGAUACUGGUCACUCUCGGGGAGUCCUGCCGCUGGCUCCCCGUAGGGAACACACAGAGUCACUUAAUUAAGGCAGACAAGUAAGAAGAAGCAGAGGAGAGGCGGCUCCUUGGGGCUUGAUCCCAGAACGUGAGCCCAGCACUUGAGAGUCGCCUUCCUGGGAACCUCAGCCUGCAUCCAGCCACACCCAGCGGGACAGCCCUGCACAAGGCCUGAAGGGAAGACGACGCAGAUUCGGUUUCUGUCCGCCUGACUUUCAUUUCCGCGGUGCUUGGAGAAGAUCAUCUACUGCCCUGGGCUUUUCCAAAAGUGAGAGCGUGCAAAAUUAACGUGUGACUCACUGGAGGGCGCCGGGGGUUAUGGAAUAUGCACGCUUAAAAUAUGCAGGACUGCGCCCCUGAACUCGGCCCCUGCAUCAGCCUUUUCCCAAAAAGACAGAGUUAAGGAAAUCAGGGCCCGACAGCAUCUCCAUCACCAGGCGCGUGAGAGGCCGGGGUCAGCAGAGACGGCUCACGGCCUCGCUGGACCGAGAAGGACCCGGUGCCCAGUGCAGCCAGAGGCCCAGAGCAGGGGUGCAGGGAGCCCUGGCCGGCCUUUCUCUGUGCCCCCUUGGCCUCAGAAGUGCUGGUUUCCCUUUGCUUCCGUGCACUCUGCCACCUUUGCCCUGGGCUCCAGCAGCCUGCACACCCCAUGCCGUUUAUUUUUUUGCACAGCCAGACUUUGCCCAACCGCCUCAGGCAAGUUGUGGUCACGCAGCCAAACUCUGCUUCCAUCAUCGGUUGUGGAGAGAUGGCUACGAUAAUGCUGAGCAAAUAAAGAAAAUGAUGUCACCCCCAGAUCAGUCAUCGGCAGCAGCAAACAAGAUCUGUAGGGAAUCCAUGAGCGACUGUGUCGAGUGCACGUUUUGACACCGAGGUGAGCCUGUCGACAAAAGCACUGUGGGUGAAGAAUCUCGGAAGCCUCAUCGUCACCCCGAGCAGAUACCCUGAGAGGCGUGCGUGGUUAAGUGGAGAGGCCCUCCACCCUCCCGAGUGCUUGAGAAAGACCAGAUGGAAUGCAGCGUUGACAAUGCGUGCUGAGGCUCUGCACACGGAAGACGAGGCAGGCGGUCUUUGUUUGAUUAAUGAUGGCCUGAGGUUGGAUCUGGAUGGAAGCCAUACGGCCUUGCGACAGACGUGCUCUUAGAGUCUGAGGCUGCCUCCCAUGCCCAGCCAGUGUGGCUGACCCCCAAGGCACCGUUCCUGCUUGCUCACUGCCAUCAGGUAGCUGCCGGAGGCUGCGUUGCCUCAGAACUGAGGUGCAUUCAUGUGUCUUAUGAAAUGGAGAAACAAGUCUGUUCACAGACACUGCAGCCCUAAGCACAGCUCCUACCGAAAACCGGGCCUUGGAGGACCCAGGGGGCACACCUUCCUCCUGCCAGAACCUGUCCCGAGUUUGCUUUGACCACAAGUUUCACUGAGAUGAUGCAGAGACGUAGGGUAGGUGACCAAGGAGGUCGAGGCAAGAUGAAGUCUACUGACAAGUCAUCCCAGGCAAGUCCUCGGCUCCAAGGGGCCUCCACCUGCAGCAGUAGCUGAAGCCCAGGGCUGUUAGAGGUGGCGCCCCCUGGAGGGCGGUGCUGGUGAGGCUGGAGAGCCCCAGGAGGAAUGCGGACAGGGUGCAGGUGGGGAGGAGAGUGAUGAGAAACAUACAGGACUGCAGAGGCAGCGUCUGGGGUCAGCCCUUCCGGCGUCCACCACGCAGACCUUACGAAAGGCUGUUGCGGCCUCUGAAGGACGGGGCGAGGCCUCCGGCCGCCAACCUCAGAGAGGAGCAGUUUGGAGGCUUUGCAUGGAGCUGAGCAACUAAAAUUGUUGCCGUUUUGCUGAUGUUACAGCUGGAGGGAAGGCAGAGACCCGGGACCGGAGCCGGCACUUCACUGGGCUGCACUUGCUGGGGAAGAGCGAACUAGGAUUGAUUUCUACUGGAGACAUGGCUGUGCAAAUACGGAGAUAAACCCCCCUUGGAUUGAUGCUGAUGAGUGACAAAGGUCACAUCCUUCCCUCACACAGUAUCAGAAUUUCCAGGACCAUGAAGGUGGGGGAAAGAGAAGCCACUCAGAUAUUCUUCUCGAAUGCCGUCUGUUGUCAAGAAAAACCUGCAAGACCAUGCGUUUCGAGGCGUGUUAAAGGGAGUGCAUCACGGUGCCGGGAACGCUGAAAGCAGCCACCGACAGGCACAGACGGACUUUCUCCCAGGCUGGGGAAUGAUCGCUGGAGGCAGCUCCCAGCUCUGGCUUCAGCCUAGCCUGGGUGGCCCCGUGGAAGCUGCUGUGCCAUUUACAUGCGGACAAUCGCCUGCCUUCCGGGAGGCCCGGGCCCGCAGGCUUGAAUUCCUGUGCAUUUGCCAUCAGAGGCCUCAUUUGCAUCCCCCACUCCCUCCCCGUGAGGGGCUCCAGGGGGCUGCCCCCAGGUCGGGGAGUGUAGCCUGAGGACACAGUAGACACUGAGUGAGAAUAGCGCGGAAGCCCCCUCGGAGCCCCCAAGCCCGGCUUUGUUUCUGAAACUGGAGCUUCCGCGUCUCUGGGGUUUGGACAGACAUCAAGAGAACUUGGUGGAGCCAGGUCCCAGUGCUCUGUGGGCGGGAGGGGGCGGCAGGACCACUUCCCAGCCAAAAGGCAGCCGCACAAACGAUUUCCUAUGGCCGUCAAGAAAAGCCCGUGCAAAGGAUUCCUCCCGCGACGUCCCGGAGACGGCGGGCAGGCCUUGGUCUCCAUGGAGAGCACACCCCAAGUUCUCGGCUGCGCUUUCAGGGGGCCGCCUGUUGAUUUAAGCUGAGCUCAUGUUCCGCGGCGGGGUGCCGCUGGCCUCCAGGCCGCUGCCAGGCUGGAUGCUGCUGCCCCAGCGCGUCCUGCCUCCUUACAGGUGCCGGGCUGUCAGCAGCUGGAUAAUUGCCGGCUUUGGCCUCGGGCCCUCCUGCAGGAGGCUGGCGGGUGCAGAGCGGAGGUGGACAAAGUUGGUUUUGUGCUCGGGGCUGGGCCUCGAAUGCCUGCUGGGGGGAACUGGGGGGGAACAGGACAGGGGGACCCUGCAGAGAACUCGGGAUACCUCACCCCUUGAACGGGGUCACCGACCUUUGAGCAGGGUCACAGACCUCUGGACCGGGCCACAGGCCAUUGUUUUAAGACACUGUGGGCAGUUGUUUGAGAGCUGGGGUUUUGGGCUUCCGGCCGGCAAGGACAGAAUCAUCAGGUCCCUUUCCAGAGCACCAGGGACGGGGCAGUUCGAGCUUGUUAACCCGGAAUCCACUUCUCCCAGUAAGGAGCCUGGUGUUGCCCAGCCCCAAGCCCCCGAGGCCGUUCCAGCUUUCCCGCUACUGCUGUGCACCCCGGGUUGCAGUUCUCUCCUUCCGGAGGUGCUGGGGACCCCUAAGGCUUGCGGGGCUGGGCCUGGGGGAAUGUCGGGGGGCGGGAGCACUGGGCAGCACGGGCCUGGCCGAGUGGCCGUGUCCAGACCACGAUGUCCUGUCCUGUGUCAGCAAAGCUCAGCCCGAGAGGGGAGUGGAGGCUCCCCGAUCACCAGAACCUCGGCAGUGAACGUGCGCCAGGACCAGGCCACAGGCCAAGAGGGAUCCCGUGGCUCACCCGGAGGGGGGUUGCUCUGUAUCCAUAAAAGUGAGGCGCUCGGGGUGCUCGGGGCGCUGGCGCUUGGACCGAGAGGCCUCGCGUCCUGGCUCCCGCUUCUCCUAAACCUUGUUUUGUGCCCGUCAUUUCUUUAUUCCUCGGUUCUUUGGGAUUCUGCUUCUCCCGUGCUCCUGGGGUUCGGCCCAGACUUCCGGGCGGGGCAGGUGUUAGCGGGUCAGUGUGGGCGGCUCCCAGGCCGGACGCUGACCCUUCGUGGGGGUGGAGCCGGGGGUGGGCCUUUGGGGCACCAUCUCCUGCCACCCCCCUGCGGAGUCUGGGGCAUGGAGGGCGGAGCCCAGCUGCCAGGGAGCCCCCGAACCUGCACACAGUGGUUCCCGCUGCCGCCUGUUUGUGCUCAGCGGCUUUGGGGAGGACAGACAACGUCCGAUGUGUCACCAGCGUAUCUCCACCCUCCUGCUCUCUUUUUUUUCCUUAUUCAGGUAGCCCUCUUUAUGGGCCUCCCUGGGGGCGCAGGGGUUCAAGACAGCACUGUCAAGCUGGCGCCAGCUGCUGGGGCCUGAUUCAUCCCCAGCCGGCCAGGGCGUUACCCACGGGGCGCAGCAGACCCCUCCCGCCUCGCCCGCUGCUCCCCUCAGCAGUGGGUUCGAGUGGAUCCACCUGUUCUACUCCCCACUCUGUCUCUGGGGAGUCCUCUCACCCCCUCCCCACACCUCUGGCCUGCACCCCACUUCUUGUGUGCAUACAUAUAUCUUCAAAAAUAAAAUAGCCGUCUUUAAUAAAAUAUUAACGACAAUUAAUUUAUUUUUUUUUAACAGCUACAUGGCCCAGACUGCUAAACUCACUUAAGCUGAAACAUAAAAUAAAGGUCUUUGGACUCAAAAAUUCAUUGGCUGUCGCUUUCCUUCAAAAUAAAUAAA
This is an RNA transcript of Talpa occidentalis (Iberian mole), 7343 nucleotides long. It is a transcript of the gene named steroid sulfatase, with no coding region annotated. The record is from RefSeq and is a predicted model, not a curated record. NCBI's taxonomy places the organism in Eukaryota, Metazoa, Chordata, Mammalia, Eulipotyphla, Talpidae. The transcript is spliced from 19 exons.